AAGAAUCACGAUGAGGCAUGAAUCAGUCAUUUCAGUUACAAUCGCUUAUUAAUAUUUUUCAGUCACGUGUUCUAACACAUGUAGCAAGCAAUCAGCUAAAAUUUCUUCAGUUACAUACAAAAUGGCAUUCAUGGGCAGCCUUAAAUCAGAAUAAAAGGGGACAAAUUGAUGCAAUAAAACCAACCAAUAAAUAUCCAUUCUUUCAGUUAUUAAUCAACAAAUAGAGAAUACCAAAAAAUCAGAAUUGUGUCAGAUAUUCAAAACCAUUUAGGCAACUCUGAAGCAGUCACCAGAAUGCCAUGAGCAGUUACGAAUC
RNAcentral lists this long non-coding RNA (316 nucleotides) under Lupinus angustifolius (narrow-leaved blue lupine). RNAcentral describes it as "long non-coding RNA (LANG_LNC003016)". The record is from RNAcentral. Lineage: Eukaryota; Viridiplantae; Streptophyta; Magnoliopsida; Fabales; Fabaceae.